GAGCCGCUAGCUCAGUUGGUAGAGCAUCUGACUUUUAAUCAGAUGGUCGAAGGUUCGAGUCCUUCGCGGCUCA
This 73-nucleotide transfer RNA is filed under the name Geoalkalibacter subterraneus. It matches the Rfam family "tRNA". Rfam says of the family: Transfer RNA (tRNA) molecules are approximately 80 nucleotides in length. Their secondary structure includes four short double-helical elements and three loops (D, anti-codon, and T loops). Further hydrogen bonds mediate the characteristic L-shaped molecular structure. tRNAs have two regions of fundamental functional importance: the anti-codon, which is responsible for specific mRNA codon recognition, and the 3' end, to which the tRNAs corresponding amino acid is attached (by aminoacyl-tRNA synthetases). tRNAs cope with the degeneracy of the genetic code in two manners: having more than one tRNA (with a specific anti-codon) for a particular amino acid; and 'wobble' base-pairing, i.e. permitting non-standard base-pairing at the 3rd anti-codon position. The record is from Rfam by way of RNAcentral. Lineage: Bacteria; Pseudomonadati; Thermodesulfobacteriota; Desulfuromonadia; Desulfuromonadales; Geoalkalibacteraceae.